RNAcentral lists this ribosomal RNA (1394 nucleotides) under Myxia belinda. Its description in RNAcentral is "SSU rRNA". It matches the Rfam family "Eukaryotic small subunit ribosomal RNA", at positions 359 to 1673 of the family's 1831-position model. Lineage: Eukaryota; Metazoa; Arthropoda; Insecta; Hemiptera; Cixiidae. The record is from RNAcentral.
GUACGGGGAUCAGGGUUCGAUUCCGGAGAGGGAGCCUGAGAAACGGCUACCACAUCCAAGGAAGGCAGCAGGCGCGCAAAUUACCCACUCCCGGCACGGGGAGGUAGUGACGAAAAAUAACGAUACGGGACUCAUCCGAGGCCCCGUAAUCGGAAUGAGUAUACUCUAAAUCCUUAUACGAGUAUCCAUUGGAGGGCAAGUCUGGUGCCAGCAGCCGCGGUAAUUCCAGCUCCAAUAGCGUAUAUUAAAGUUGUUGCGGUUAAAAAGCUCGUAGUUGGAUCUGUGUCCCGCACCGCCGGUUCACCGCCUGUCGGUGUCAAACUAGCGUGUAUGCGGGACGUCCUGUCGGUGGUGGUCCGGGGCUUCGUCGGCCUUAGGGGUUUCCGAAUUUCGCGAUUCUCCGAAGGCUGGCGUGUGUUUCCGGCCGCCUUGUCAAUCCUGCCGCGGUGCUCUUCACCGAGUGUCGAGGCGGGCCGGCACGUUUACUUUGAACAAAUUAGAGUGCUUUAAGCAGGCUCAUUUCUGCCUGCAUACUGUGUGCAUGGAAUAAUGGAAUAGGACCUCGGUUCUAUUUUGUUGGUUUUCGGAAUCUGAGGUAAUGAUCAAUGGGGACAGGCGGGGGCAUUCGUAUUGCGACGUUAGAGGUGAAAUUCUUGGAUCGUCGCAAGACGGACCGAAGCGAAAGCAUUUGCCAAGUAUGUUCUCGUCGAUCAAGAACGAAAGUUAGAGGUUCGAAGGCGAUCAGAUACCGCCCUAGUUCUAACCAUAAACCAUGCCUGCCAGCGAUCCGCCGGUGUUCCUCCGAUGACCCGGCGGGCAGCUUCCGGGAAACCAGAGCUUUUGGGUUCCGGGGGAAGUAUGGUUGCAAAGCUGAAACUUAAAGGAAUUGACGGAAGGGCACCACCAGGAGUGGAGCCUGCGGCUUAAUUUGACUCAACACGGGAAAACUCACCAGGCCCGGACACCGGAAGGAUUGACAGAUUGAGAGCUCUUUCUUGAUUCGGUGGGUGGUGGUGCAUGGCCGUUCUUAGUUGGUGGAGCGAUUUGUCUGGUUAAUUCCGAUAACGAACGAGACUCUAGCCUACUAACUAGACGUAUCCGGUAUCCACAAUCGUGCUACCGGCGAGUAAAUUUCUUCUUAGAGGGACAGGCGGCUGUAGCCGCACGAGACUGAGCAAUAACAGGUCUGUGAUGCCCUUAGAUGUCCUGGGCCGCACGCGCGCUACACUGAAGGAGUCAGCGUGUCUUCCCUGUCCGAAAGGACCGGGUAACCCGCUGAACCUCUUUCGUGCUAGGGAUUGGGGCUUGCAACUGUUCCCCAUGAACGAGGAAUUCCCAGUAAGCGCGAGUCAUAAGCUCGCGUUGAUUACGUCCCUGCCCUUGUACACACCGCC